GAGUUUGAUCCUGGCUCAGGACGAACGCUGGCGGCGUGCUUAACACAUGCAAGUCGAGCGGUGAACCACCUUCGGGUGGGAUCAGCGGCGAACGGGUGAGUAACACGUGGGCAACCUGCCCUUAGCUCUGGGAUAACUCCGGGAACCGGGGCUAAUACCGGAUACGACCUCGGAGGGCAUUCUCUGAGGUGGAAAGUUCCGGCGGCUAAGGAUGGGCCCGCGGCCU
Molecule: ribosomal RNA, 226 nt
Filed under: uncultured bacterium
Lineage: Bacteria
Description: partial 16S ribosomal RNA
Rfam family: Bacterial small subunit ribosomal RNA
Source: RNAcentral